Paramuricea clavata is the source of this 73-nucleotide non-coding RNA. NCBI's taxonomy places the organism in Eukaryota, Metazoa, Cnidaria, Anthozoa, Malacalcyonacea, Plexauridae. The record is from the annotation of a GenBank genome assembly.
GACCGUGUAGCUCAGUUGGCAGAGCAUUGGGCUAGUAUUCCAAAGGUCGUAGGUUCGAUUCCCACCGUGGUCA